AACCUUAUGGACCUGCGGGCGUAUACCUGCGGAAGGAUCAUUACACAUAUUACGGGGGGUCGGUCACCCAGAGCGUCGCCUCUUAGCACCUCUGGGCCCUGCCCUGUCUGAAUAUUCUACCCAUGUCUUUUGCGCACUCUUCGUUUCCUCGGUGGGCUUGCCUGCCGAUAGGACACUAUAAAACCUUUUUGUAAUUGCAAUCAGCGUCAGAAAAACUUUUAAUAGUUACAACUUUCAACA
Molecule: unclassified non-coding RNA, 240 nt
Filed under: soil metagenome
Description: partial contains 5.8S ribosomal RNA, internal transcribed spacer 2, and large subunit ribosomal RNA
Source: RNAcentral